CCAUGUUGUUGGCCGCUGUGCUGUGUCCAUCCACGGCGAUUCUUCCCACAGAGUUCUGAAGCAAAAGGCUUACAAUUAAAGGAAUAAAACAUUUAAAGAUAAUUCGAGAGUACCAUGGACAAAGCGUGUGGGUCGCUUAGACUCCAGCAGUAACUCCUGAUCUGCAGUUCCCAGGGGUGUCCAGUAAGGAGAACGUCACUACAGCGGUUUUAAAGAAGCGUCAGGAGGAGAUGCGGCCCCUGAACAUCGACGAGGUGGAAGCACCAGAGGAGGUGCAGGUGCUGGAGCCCGAGGAGGAUUUCGAGCGGUUCCUGCUCCAGGUCAUCAACGAGAUGCGCGAGGACAUCGCGUCUCUUAUACGCGAGCCCGGGCCCGCGUACCUGCGGACCAGGAGCAAGCUGUGGGAGAUGAACAAUAUCCUCAUCUAGAUCAAAACGCAGGUGGAGGCCUCGGAGGAGAGUGCCCUCAACCACGUGCAGCACCUGAGUGGCGAAGCCGACGAGAGAGUGUCGGAGUUGCGCGAGAAGGCCAAGGAGAAGGCCAAGGAGAUCGCGAAGAUGGCAGAGAUGCUGGUCGAGCUCAUUUGGCGAAUAGAGAGAAGUUCACAGUUGAGGACUAUAGUCAACUGGUAAGGAUGAACUAACACAUUGAGGAAACUGAAACAGCUUAUCAUCUUCUCUGUUUUGUUUUUGUAUGUUUUUUACCCCCAUGUAAUAGUCUCCCUUAUGGUCCGUGAUUGAUAACCUUGAUAUGGGUUUACAUCAUCAAAUGUAUUUGGUUCUGGAA
This is an RNA transcript of Cebus imitator (Panamanian white-faced capuchin), 786 nucleotides long. It is a transcript of the gene named MORF4 family-associated protein 1-like, with no coding region annotated. The record is from RefSeq and is a predicted model, not a curated record. The transcript has a single exon. NCBI's taxonomy places the organism in Eukaryota, Metazoa, Chordata, Mammalia, Primates, Cebidae.